This 367-nucleotide ribosomal RNA is filed under the name uncultured bacterium. Its description in RNAcentral is "bacterial SSU rRNA". It matches the Rfam family "Bacterial small subunit ribosomal RNA", at positions 632 to 1000 of the family's 1533-position model. The record is from RNAcentral.
ACUGGGUCGCUAGAGUACUUUAGGGAGGGGUAGAAUUCCACGUGUAGCGGUGAAAUGCGUAGAGAUGUGGAGGAAUACCGAAGGCGAAGGCAGCCCCUUGGGAAUGUACUGACGCUCAUGUGCGAAAGCGUGGGGAGCAAACAGGAUUAGAUACCCUGGUAGUCCACGCUGUAAACGAUGUCGAUUUGGGGGUUGAGCUUUAAGUUUGGCGCCCGUAGCUAACGUGAUAAAUCGACCGCCUGGGGAGUACGGCCGCAAGGUUAAAACUCAAAUGAAUUGACGGGGGCCCGCACAAGCGGUGGAGCAUGUGGUUUAAUUCGAUGCAACGCGAAGAACCUUACCUACUCUUGACAUCCAGAGAACAUUC